RNAcentral lists this ribosomal RNA (426 nucleotides) under uncultured Rhizobium sp. RNAcentral describes it as "bacterial SSU rRNA". It matches the Rfam family "Bacterial small subunit ribosomal RNA", at positions 51 to 524 of the family's 1533-position model. The record is from RNAcentral. Lineage: Bacteria; Pseudomonadati; Pseudomonadota; Alphaproteobacteria; Hyphomicrobiales; Rhizobiaceae.
ACACAUGCAAGUCGAGGGCCCCGCAAGGGGAGCGGCAGACGGGUGAGUAACGCGUGGGAACCUACCCUUUACUACGGAAUAACGCAGGGGAACUUGUGCUAAUACCGUAUGUGCCCUUCGGGGGAAAGAUUUAUCGGUGAAGGAUGAGCCCGCGUUGGAUUAGGUAGUUGGUGGGGUAAAGGCCUACCAAGGCGACGAUCCAUAGCUGGUCUGAGAGGAUGAUCAGCCACAUUGGGACUGAGACACGGCCCAAACUCCUACGGGAGGCAGCAGUGGGGAAUAUUGGACAAUGGGCGCAAGCCUGAUCCAGCCAUGCCGCGUGAGUGAUGAAGGCCCUAGGGUUUGUAAAGCUCUUUCACCGGAGAAGAUAAUGACGGUAUCCGGAGAAGAAGCCCCGGCUAACUUCGUGCCAGCAGCCGCGGUAAU